Molecule: ribosomal RNA, 452 nt
Filed under: Candidatus Anaplasma camelii
Lineage: Bacteria; Pseudomonadati; Pseudomonadota; Alphaproteobacteria; Rickettsiales; Anaplasmataceae
Description: bacterial SSU rRNA
Rfam family: Bacterial small subunit ribosomal RNA
Source: RNAcentral
UGGCGGCAAGCUUAACACAUGCCAGUCUGAACGCGAUUGUUAUCAUAGCUUGCUAUGAUAACAAUUAGUGGCAGACGGGUGAGUAAUGCAUAGGAAUCUACCUAGUAGUAUGGGAUAGCCACUAGAAAUGGUGGGUAAUACUGUAUAAUCCCUGCGGGGGAAAGAUUUAUCGCUAUUAGAUGAGCCUAUGUUAGAUUAGCUAGUUGGUAGGGUAAAGGCCUACCAAGGCAGUGAUCUAUAGCUGGUCUGAGAGGAUGAUCAGCCACACUGGAACUGAGAUACGGUCCAGACUCCUACGGGAGGCAGCAGUGGGGAAUAUUGGACAAUGGGCGCAAGCCUGAUCCAGCUAUGCCGCGUGAGUGAGGAAGGCCUUAGGGUUGUAAAACUCUUUCAGUGGGGAAGAUAAUGACGGUACCCACAGAAGAAGUCCCGGCAAACUCCGUGCCAGCAGC